GUAGAGGGGGCAUGAGAGAACUUUAA
RNAcentral lists this non-coding RNA (26 nucleotides) under Cricetulus griseus (Chinese hamster). Lineage: Eukaryota; Metazoa; Chordata; Mammalia; Rodentia; Cricetidae. The record is from RNAcentral.